RNAcentral lists this ribosomal RNA (301 nucleotides) under uncultured bacterium. RNAcentral describes it as "partial 16S ribosomal RNA". It matches the Rfam family "Bacterial small subunit ribosomal RNA", at positions 509 to 809 of the family's 1533-position model. The record is from RNAcentral.
CAGUAGCCGCGGGAAUACGGAGGAACCAAGCGUUAUCCGGAAUCAUUGGGUUUAAAGGGUCCGUAGGCGGUCUUGUAAGUCAGUGGUGAAAGCCCAUCGCUCAACGGUGGAACGGCCAUUGAUACUGCAGGACUUGAAUUAUUGGGAAGUAACUAGAAUAUGUAGUGUAGCGGUGAAAUGCUUAGAGAUUACAUGGAAUACCAAUUGCGAAGGCAGGUUACUACCAAUUGAUUGACGCUGAUGGACGAAAGCGUGGGUAGCGAACAGGAUUAGAUACCCCAGUAGUCCCUGUCUCUUAUAA